Molecule: long non-coding RNA, 319 nt
Filed under: Gossypium barbadense (sea-island cotton)
Lineage: Eukaryota; Viridiplantae; Streptophyta; Magnoliopsida; Malvales; Malvaceae
Description: long non-coding RNA (GBAR_LNC011444)
Source: RNAcentral
AAAUUUUCUCUUUCAAUUCCUUUUUCGGAUAUAACAUUGAUGCUCCAAUUUUCGAACAUUCCUUCCGGGCCUUCAGUAUAUUUAAAGAAUUCUAGCUCCUUAUUAUCCAUCAGGCCUUGCACCAAGGCUUUGAAUUCAUUACACUUUCAAAUAUCGUGACCCUCUUCAUCAUGAAACUCACAAUAGUUCCUUGCUUCUCUAGGUUUCUCCCCUAAAUCCUAUGUAAUUAAUCCUCCUUCUACUAUUUUCUUCCAAAGGUUUUUACUUCUACUACAUCUGUCUUGAUUCUCUUCCCUACACUCUCGAUUAUUACGUUUAC